Molecule: long non-coding RNA, 755 nt
Organism: Stomoxys calcitrans (stable fly)
Lineage: Eukaryota; Metazoa; Arthropoda; Insecta; Diptera; Muscidae
Exons: 2
Source: RefSeq, a predicted model, not a curated record
GCAGUCAAGCUGUAGACAACACACAGCACUAACAGAAACAGUAACAGAAGUAGAAAAAAAAAUUAACUGCAAUUGAAAAAAAGCAAAACUGCAAUCAAUUCUCAAAUCCAAUCAGCAACAAGAAUUAGGAAAAAAAUAAAACGAGAAGAAAUAAAAAAUACCUCAAAAAACAAGUGCUGACAAAAAUUUUUGUAGAAAAUUAAAAACGAAAAAUUUAUAUACUUUCCAAAACUAAGAAAUAAUAAAUGUGAUGAAUAAAAAUAGAAAACAAAACAAAAAAAAAACUAAAAUCAAAACACAAAAAUAACCGCAAACAAAUAACUAAAGCAACUUUAAAAGUUCCAAAACAAAAACAAAUUAUAUAUAAAAUAUAUAAUUUGUAGAAUAGAAAUUGUGAUUAAAAAAAAAACAACAACAGAUUGCUUUAAAUCCCCAUUCAAAAGAAAGCUUCCAAAAUUGAAAAUUUAAGAAGGAUAUAGGAAGAAAACCAGUAUAUAUUUGGCCUACUGUGAAUAAAAAGAAAAUUGAAAAGUCUUAAAAAGUUUGGAAAACUUUUGAACAACAGUGUAUCCAAAAUUAAAAAAAAAAAAAACAAAGUGAGAAACUAUUUGAACUACAGUGUAUUGAAUAAUAUUAAAAACAAUAUCGGAAAAUAUUUGAACUACAGUGUAUUGAAUAAUAUUAAAAACUAUAUCGGAAAAUAUUUGAACUACAGUGUAGGAAAACAUUGAACUACAGUGAAGGAUAAAAAAAUA